This 539-nucleotide small RNA is filed under the name Pan troglodytes (chimpanzee). RNAcentral describes it as "retained intron". Lineage: Eukaryota; Metazoa; Chordata; Mammalia; Primates; Hominidae. The record is from RNAcentral.
AAUUGUGUGGCGGGGUCUGGAUGGAAAGGCGGGGCCCGCUGAAAGAAGGCGACCCGAGUUCUGCUACUUCCUAGUAAGGGACGUCUCUGGAGAGAUUCUGAGGUGUUUGAGCCUCUUUUGCCUACACACCGGCAGGUAAGCCAUCUCUGCCCCAGUGGGGUUCAGACCCCCCCAGGACGGGCCCUUCUCUCACUCAUUCGCCCCCUCAUUUUCCCCAGUGUCCUUCCCGCACUCAGAGGGCCUCUCUGGAGCCAGUUCCAGGCCACCCAUGGGCCUUGGCCCCGCCCCCUACUCAUGGCUGGCAGAUUCGUGGCCCCACCCAUCUCGAAGCCCCUCGGCCCAGGAACCCAGGGGAAGCUGCUGCCCUAGCAAUCCUGACCCGGACGACAGAUAUUACAACGGUGAGGAGUUCUCAUUCCCUCACCUGGCUUCAGCGCACUUCUCCCGACCUACUGGGGCAAACCGAAGGGCGCCCGGGAGCCCGGUCUCUCUGAGGUUGGUCAGUCCCUGGGGAGGAUGUGAGCUGGGGAAGCCUCUCU